RNAcentral lists this ribosomal RNA (1396 nucleotides) under human gut metagenome. RNAcentral's name for it is "bacterial LSU rRNA". It matches the Rfam family "Bacterial large subunit ribosomal RNA", at positions 602 to 1980 of the family's 2925-position model. The record is from RNAcentral.
UGCCUAUUGAAGAAUGAACCAACGAGUUAUCUGCACUAGCGAGGUUAAGUGGAAGACACGGAGCCGCAGCGAAAGCGAGUCUUAAGAGGGCGCUAGUUAGUGUAGGUAGACCCGAAACCGCAGUGAUCUACCCAUGUCCAGGUUGAAGCGCAGGUAAAAUUGCGUGGAGGACCGAACCGGUGAGCGUUGAAAAGCUUUCGGAUGAGAUGUGGGUAGGGGUGAAAUUCCAAUCGAACGCGGAGAUAGCUGGUUCUCCCCGAAAUAGCUUUAGGGCUAGCCUGAGGUAGUAAGUAUAGGCGGUAGAGCACUGAUCGGGCUAGGGGCCGUAAAGGUUACCGAACCCUGUCAAACUCCGAAUGGAUAUACUGUAGAGCCUUGGAGUCAGACUACGAGUGAUAAGAUCCGUGGUCAAAAGGGAAACAGCCCAGACCACCAGCUAAGGUCCCCAAUGUCGUACUAAGUGGAAAAGGAUGUGGGGUUUCAUAAACAACCAGGAUGUUGGCUCAGAAGCAGCCACCAUUUAAAGAGUGCGUAAUAGCUCACUGGUCGAGAGACCCUGCGCCGAAGAUUCCCGGGGCUAAAGUACGAAACCGAAGCUGUGGCUGUAUACGUAAAGUAUACGGGGUAGGGGAGCGUUCCCAUAGGGUAGAAGUCGAACUGGAAGGUUCGGUGGACUUGUGGGAAGUGAGAAUGUUGGUAUGAGUAGCGAAAAGAAAGGUGAGAAUCCUUUCCACCGAAAGCAUAAGGAUUCCUGAGCAACGAUCGUCGUCUCAGGGUAAGUCGGGACCUAAUCCGAGGCAGAGAGCGUAGGAGAUGGACAACUGGUUGAUAUUCCAGUACCGGUAGUAAUUGUUUGAGCAAUGGAGUGACACAGAAGGGCAGGCAAGCAUGCGAAUGGAAGAGCAUGUGUAAGCGUGUAGGGUGGUGCAUAGGCAAAUCCGUGCACUGAAAGCCUGAGGCGUGAUGCGGAGUGAGCAGAGAUGCGAGCGAAGUUGUUGACCCCACACUGUCGAGAAAAGCUUCUAGUGAGAGAGCUACCGCCCGUACCGUAAACCGACACAGGUAUGCGGGGAGAGAAUCCUAAGGUGCGCGGGAGAACCCUCGUUAAGGAACUCGGCAAAAUGUACCCGUAACUUCGGGAUAAGGGUAGCCACUGUUGUGAAGUCCCAUGCGGAUGGAGCAUAGAGUGGUCGCAGAGAAGAGGCCCAAGCGACUGUUUACCAUAAACACAGGUGCCUGCUAAAGCGAAAGCUGACGUAUAGGUGCUGACACCUGCCCAGUGCCGGAAGGUUAAGGAAGGAUGUUCGGAGUAAUCCAAAGCAUUCGACUGAAGCCCCGGUGAACGGCGGCCGUAACUAUAACGGUCCUAAGGUAGCGAAAUUCCUUGUCGGGUAAG